This 492-nucleotide ribosomal RNA is filed under the name uncultured bacterium. RNAcentral describes it as "partial 16S ribosomal RNA". It matches the Rfam family "Bacterial small subunit ribosomal RNA", at positions 29 to 507 of the family's 1533-position model. The record is from RNAcentral.
AGUGAACGCUGGCGGUAGGCCUAACACAUGCAAGUCGAACGGCAGCACAGUAAGAGCUUGCUCUUACGGGUGGCGAGUGGCGGACGGGUGAGGAAUACAUCGGAAUCUACUUUUUCGUGGGGGAUAACGUAGGGAAACUUACGCUAAUACCGCAUACGACCUACGGGUGAAAGCAGGGGAUCUUCGGACCUUGCGCGAUUGAAUGAGCCGAUGUCGGAUUAGCUAGUUGGCGGGGUAAAGGCCCACCAAGGCGACGAUCCGUAGCUGGUCUGAGAGGAUGAUCGGCCACACUGGAACUGAGACACGGUCCAGACUCCUGCGGGAGGCAGCAGUGGGGAAUAUUGGGCAAUGGGCGCAAGCCUGAUCCAGCCAUACCGCGUCGGUGAAGAAGGCCUUCGGGUUGUAAAGCCCUUUUGUUGGGAAAGAAAAGCAGCAGGUUAAUACCCCGCUGUUCUGACGGUACCCAAAGAAUAAGCACCGGCUAACUUCGUG